This 379-nucleotide ribosomal RNA is filed under the name uncultured eukaryote. RNAcentral describes it as "partial 18S ribosomal RNA". It matches the Rfam family "Eukaryotic small subunit ribosomal RNA", at positions 592 to 976 of the family's 1831-position model. The record is from RNAcentral.
CAAUAGCGUAUAUUAAAGUUGUUGCAGUUAAAAAGCUCGUAGUUGAACUUCAGACCUGGCUGGGCGGUCCGCCUAACGGUGUGUACUGUCUGGCUGGGUCUUACCUCUUGGUGAGCCGGUAUGCCCUUCACUGGGUGUAUCGGGGAACCAGGACUUUUACCUUGAGAAAAUUAGAGUGUUCAAAGCAGGCCUGCGCCUGAAUACGUUAGCAUGGAAUAAUAAAAUAGGACGUGCGGUUCUAUUUUGUUGGUUUCUAGAGUCGCCGUAAUGAUUAAUAGGGAUAGUUGGGGGCAUUAGUAUUCCGUUGCUAGAGGUGAAAUUCUUGGAUUUACGGAAGACUAACUACUGCGAAAGCAUUUGCCAAGGAUGUUUUCAUUAA